AUACGGAGGGUGCGAGCGUUACUCGGAGUCACUGGGCGUAAAGCGUCCGUAGGCGGUCGGGUAAGUCGGGUGUGAAAGCCCCGGGCUCAACCUGGGAAGUGCUCCCGAUACUGCUCGACUCGAGUGCGGGAGAGGAUGGCGGAAUUCCCGGUGUAGCGGUGAAAUGCGUAGAGAUCGGGAGGAACACCAGUGGCGAAGGCGGCCAUCUGGCCCGCAACUGACGCUGAGGGACGAAAGCGUGGGGAGCAAACAGGAUUAGAAACCCUAGUAGUCC
RNAcentral lists this ribosomal RNA (274 nucleotides) under uncultured bacterium. Its description in RNAcentral is "partial 16S ribosomal RNA". It matches the Rfam family "Bacterial small subunit ribosomal RNA", at positions 523 to 796 of the family's 1533-position model. The record is from RNAcentral.